RNAcentral lists this ribosomal RNA (1541 nucleotides) under Escherichia coli IS25. RNAcentral describes it as "SSU rRNA". It matches the Rfam family "Bacterial small subunit ribosomal RNA". The record is from RNAcentral. Lineage: Bacteria; Pseudomonadati; Pseudomonadota; Gammaproteobacteria; Enterobacterales; Enterobacteriaceae.
AAAUUGAAGAGUUUGAUCAUGGCUCAGAUUGAACGCUGGCGGCAGGCCUAACACAUGCAAGUCGAACGGUAACAGGAAGAAGCUUGCUUCUUUGCUGACGAGUGGCGGACGGGUGAGUAAUGUCUGGGAAACUGCCUGAUGGAGGGGGAUAACUACUGGAAACGGUAGCUAAUACCGCAUAACGUCGCAAGACCAAAGAGGGGGACCUUCGGGCCUCUUGCCAUCGGAUGUGCCAGAUGGGAUUAGCUAGUAGGUGGGGUAACGGCUCACCUAGGCGACGAUCCCUAGCUGGUCUGAGAGGAUGACCAGCCACACUGGAACUGAGACACGGUCCAGACUCCUACGGGAGGCAGCAGUGGGGAAUAUUGCACAAUGGGCGCAAGCCUGAUGCAGCCAUGCCGCGUGUAUGAAGAAGGCCUUCGGGUUGUAAAGUACUUUCAGCGGGGAGGAAGGGAGUAAAGUUAAUACCUUUGCUCAUUGACGUUACCCGCAGAAGAAGCACCGGCUAACUCCGUGCCAGCAGCCGCGGUAAUACGGAGGGUGCAAGCGUUAAUCGGAAUUACUGGGCGUAAAGCGCACGCAGGCGGUUUGUUAAGUCAGAUGUGAAAUCCCCGGGCUCAACCUGGGAACUGCAUCUGAUACUGGCAAGCUUGAGUCUCGUAGAGGGGGGUAGAAUUCCAGGUGUAGCGGUGAAAUGCGUAGAGAUCUGGAGGAAUACCGGUGGCGAAGGCGGCCCCCUGGACGAAGACUGACGCUCAGGUGCGAAAGCGUGGGGAGCAAACAGGAUUAGAUACCCUGGUAGUCCACGCCGUAAACGAUGUCGACUUGGAGGUUGUGCCCUUGAGGCGUGGCUUCCGGAGCUAACGCGUUAAGUCGACCGCCUGGGGAGUACGGCCGCAAGGUUAAAACUCAAAUGAAUUGACGGGGGCCCGCACAAGCGGUGGAGCAUGUGGUUUAAUUCGAUGCAACGCGAAGAACCUUACCUGGUCUUGACAUCCACGGAAGUUUUCAGAGAUGAGAAUGUGCCUUCGGGAACCGUGAGACAGGUGCUGCAUGGCUGUCGUCAGCUCGUGUUGUGAAAUGUUGGGUUAAGUCCCGCAACGAGCGCAACCCUUAUCCUUUGUUGCCAGCGGUCCGGCCGGGAACUCAAAGGAGACUGCCAGUGAUAAACUGGAGGAAGGUGGGGAUGACGUCAAGUCAUCAUGGCCCUUACGACCAGGGCUACACACGUGCUACAAUGGCGCAUACAAAGAGAAGCGACCUCGCGAGAGCAAGCGGACCUCAUAAAGUGCGUCGUAGUCCGGAUUGGAGUCUGCAACUCGACUCCAUGAAGUCGGAAUCGCUAGUAAUCGUGGAUCAGAAUGCCACGGUGAAUACGUUCCCGGGCCUUGUACACACCGCCCGUCACACCAUGGGAGUGGGUUGCAAAAGAAGUAGGUAGCUUAACCUUCGGGAGGGCGCUUACCACUUUGUGAUUCAUGACUGGGGUGAAGUCGUAACAAGGUAACCGUAGGGGAACCUGCGGUUGGAUCACCUCCUUA